AGAGUUUGAUCAUGGCUCAGGACGAACGCUGGCGGCGUGCUUAACACAUGCAAGUCGAACGGAAAGGCCCUUCGGGGUACUCGAGUGGCGAACGGGUGAGUAACACGUGGGUGAUCUGCCCUGCACUCUGGGAUAAGCCUGGGAAACUGGGUCUAAUACCGGAUAGGACCACACACUUCAUGGUGAGUGGUGCAAAGCUUUUGCGGUGUGGGAUGAGCCCGCGGCCUAUCAGCUUGUUGGUGGGGUAAUGGCCCACCAAGGCGACGACGGGUAGCCGGCCUGAGAGGGUGACCGGCCACACUGGGACUGAGAUACGGCCCAGACUCCUACGGGAGGCAGCAGUGGGGAAUAUUGCACAAUGGGCGCAAGCCUGAUGCAGCGACGCCGCGUGAGGGAUGACGGCCUUCGGGUUGUAAACCUCUUUCAGUAGGGACGAAGCGAAAGUGACGGUACCUACAGAAGAAGGACCGGCCAACUACGUGCCAGCAGCCGCGGUAAUACGUAGGGUCCGAGCGUUGUCCGGAAUUACUGGGCGUAAAGAGCUCGUAGGUGGUUUGUCGCGUUGUUCGUGAAAACUCACAGCUUAACUGUGGGCGUGCGGGCGAUACGGGCAGACUAGAGUACUGCAGGGGAGACUGGAAUUCCUGGUGUAGCGGUGGAAUGCGCAGAUAUCAGGAGGAACACCGGUGGCGAAGGCGGGUCUCUGGGCAGUAACUGACGCUGAGGAGCGAAAGCGUGGGUAGCGAACAGGAUUAGAUACCCCGGUAGUCCAA
Molecule: ribosomal RNA, 773 nt
Filed under: uncultured bacterium
Lineage: Bacteria
Description: bacterial SSU rRNA
Rfam family: Bacterial small subunit ribosomal RNA
Source: RNAcentral